UUAAACAACUUCGUGUUGCUUCGAAUCGCUAACGUUUUUUACAUUUUGUGGCCCCACGGUGGUUAAAUAAAUCGAUUGUCAUUCGUGAAGCCUCCGAUUCGGAUGUGAUACGAAAUUCUCCACCUUCGCAAUGAUCAUUUUGCAAUUAGACGAGCAACCGAUGCUCAUCCAAGCCGUUUUCGGCGAAAUAGACACGGUUAGGAAACUGUUCGAAUCAAAAAGAUCAAACUGGACAAUUAAAAUACAUACAUUAAUAAAAAAUUUGAAGAAUAUAAAAGGAUGUAUGAUGAAGAAAAAUUGUGACAGUUAAGUAAAUACGUUUUUAACAAACAAAUUAAGGAGUGAGGAAAUAUUAUCAAAUGGAAAUUUUAUGAAUUCAAAGUAAUAACCAUCGUAAGUGUUAAAAUUAUUAUUUUUUUAUACAAAAAUUGUAUUUUGUUAUAAAAUUUAUAAUAUAAAAGUUAUUAAAUCUUU
Molecule: non-coding RNA, 474 nt
Organism: Onthophagus taurus
Lineage: Eukaryota; Metazoa; Arthropoda; Insecta; Coleoptera; Scarabaeidae
Source: RefSeq, a predicted model, not a curated record